RNAcentral lists this unclassified non-coding RNA (400 nucleotides) under soil metagenome. RNAcentral's name for it is "partial contains 5.8S ribosomal RNA, internal transcribed spacer 2, and large subunit ribosomal RNA". The stretch from base 1 to 122 matches the Rfam family "5.8S ribosomal RNA", at positions 35 to 154 of the family's 154-position model. The record is from RNAcentral.
GAUGAAGAACGUAGCGAAAUGCGAUACUUGGUGUGAAUUGCAGAAUCCCGUGAACCAUCGAGUCUUUGAACGCAAGUUGCGCCUCAAGCCAUUAGGUUGAGGGCACGUCUGCCUGGGCGUCACAUAUCGUUGCCUGAUGCCAGUUUCCUCGUGAUGGGUGACUGUGCAGGGCGAAUGAUGGCUUCCCGUGAGCAUUGUUGCCUCAUGGUUGGUUGAAAAUUGAGUCCUUGGUAGGGAGCGCCGUGAUAGAUGGUGGUUGAGUGACGAACGAGUCCCAAUCAUGUGAGACCCCUACCGAAUUUGGCCUUCAUGACCCACAUGCGUCUUUGGAACGCUCAUGACGAGACCUCAGGUCAGGCGGGGCUACCCGCUGAGUUUAAGCAUAUCAAUAAGCGGAGGA